UACGUAGGGGGCAAGCGUUGUCCGGAAUCAUUGGGCGUAAAGAGCGUGUAGGCGGCUCGGUAAGUCCGCUGUGAAAGUCCAGGGCUCAACCCUGGAAUGCCGGUGGAAACUGUCGAGCUAGAGUCCGGAAGAGGCGAGUGGAAUUCCUGGUGUAGCGGUGAAAUGCGCAGAUAUCAGGAGGAACACCAAUGGCGAAGGCAGCUCGCUGGGACGGUACUGACGCUCAUGCACGAAAGCGUGGGGAGCAAACAGG
RNAcentral lists this ribosomal RNA (253 nucleotides) under uncultured bacterium. RNAcentral describes it as "partial 16S ribosomal RNA". It matches the Rfam family "Bacterial small subunit ribosomal RNA", at positions 524 to 776 of the family's 1533-position model. The record is from RNAcentral.